AAUGAACGCUGGCGGCGCGCCUAAUACAUGCAAGUCGAGCGAGAAGACGUAGCAAUACGUUUGUAAAGCGGCGAACGGGUGAGGAAUACAUGGGUAACCUACCCUCGAGUGGGGAAUAACUAGCCGAAAGGUUAGCUAAUACCGCGUACGCUUCUUGGACUUCGGUUCAGGGAGGAAAGCGAUACCGUGGGUAUCGCGCUCUUGGAUGGGCUCAUGUCCUAUCAGCUUGUUGGUGAGGUAACGGCUCACCAAGGCUUCGACGGGUAGCUGGUCUGAGAGGACGAUCAGCCACACUGGCACUGCGACACGGGCCAGACUCCUACGGGAGGGCAGCAGUAAGGAAUAUUGCGCAAUGGGCGAAAGCCUGACGCAGCGACGCCGCGUGGGGGGAG
RNAcentral lists this ribosomal RNA (392 nucleotides) under uncultured bacterium. Its description in RNAcentral is "bacterial SSU rRNA". It matches the Rfam family "Bacterial small subunit ribosomal RNA", at positions 29 to 410 of the family's 1533-position model. The record is from RNAcentral.